GAUAGGGGGCAGGCCCAAUACAUAGAAAGUCGGACGGGAUUCAGCAGCUUGCUGUUGAUGAGAGUGGCGCACGGGUGCGUAACGCGUGAGCAACCUGCCCAUUUCAGGGGGAUAGCCCGGAGAAAUCCGGAUUAAGACCGCAUAUGAUCACGUUACCGCAUGGUAGAGUGAUGAAAUAUUCAUAGGAAAUGGAUGGGCUCGCGUGACAUUAGCUAGUUGGUAGGGUAACGGCCUACCAAGGCGACGAUGUCUAGGGGCUCUGAGAGGAGAAUCCCCCACACUGGUACUGAGACACGGACCAGACUCCUACGGGAGGCAGCAGUAAGGAAUAUUGGUCAAUGGGGGGAACCCUGAACCAGCCAUGCCGCGUGCAGGAAGACGGCCCUACGGGUUGUAAACUGCUUUUGCACGGGAAUAACCCUCAUUAUGUAUAAUGAGCUGAAUGUACCGUGAGAAUAAGAUCGGCUAACUCCGUGCCAGCAGCCGCGGUAAUACGGAGGAUCCGAGCGUUAUCCGGAAUUAUUGGGUUUAAAGGGUGCGCAGGCGGGGAUCUAAGUCAGGGGUGAAAGACGGUGGCUCAACCAUCGCAGUGCCUUUGAUACUGGAUUCCUUGAAUAUACCUGAGGUAGGCGGAAUGUGGCAAGUAGCGGUGAAAUGCAUAGAUAUGCCACAGAACACCGAUUGCGAAGGCAGCUUACCAAAGUAUGAUUGACGCUGAGGCACGAAAGCGUGGGGAUCGAACAGGAUUAGAUACCCUGGUAGUCCACGCCCUAAACGAUGAACACUCGAUGUCGGCGAUAGACAGUCGGCGUCCAAGCGAAAGCGUUAAGUGUUCCACCUGGGGAGUACGCCCGCAAGGGUGAAACUCAAAGGAAUUGACGGGGGCCCGCACAAGCGGAGGAGCAUGUGGUUUAAUUCGAUGAUACGCGAGGAACCUUACCCGGGCUUGAAAGUUACUGAAGAUAGCAGAGAUGUUAUCGUCCUUCGGGACAGGAAACUAGGUGCUGCAUGGCUGUCGUCAGCUCGUGCCGUGAGGUGUUGGGUUAAGUCCCGCAACGAGCGCAACCCCUGUGGAUAGUUGCCAGCACAUAAUGGUGGGGACUCUAUCCAGACUGCCUGUGCAAACAGAGAGGAAGGCGGGGACGACGUCAAGUCAUCAUGGCCCUUACGUCCGGGGCUACACACGUGCUACAAUGGGCGGUACAGAGGGCAGCCAACCUGCAAAGGUGCGCCAAUCCCUUAAAGCCGUUCACAGUUCGGAUCGGGGUCUGCAACUCGACCCCGUGAAGCUGGAUUCGCUAGUAAUCGCGUAUCAGCAAUGACGCGGUGAAUACGUUCCCGGGCCUUGUACACACCGCCCGUCAAGCCAUGAAAGUUGGGGGUACCUAAAGCAUGUGACCGCAAGUAGCUUGUUAGGGGUAAAACCCCAAAC
This 1432-nucleotide ribosomal RNA is filed under the name Olivibacter soli. RNAcentral's name for it is "bacterial SSU rRNA". It matches the Rfam family "Bacterial small subunit ribosomal RNA". Lineage: Bacteria; Pseudomonadati; Bacteroidota; Sphingobacteriia; Sphingobacteriales; Sphingobacteriaceae. The record is from RNAcentral.